CCGCCCCCGGCGACGGCCCCUGUGGCCUCCAAGGACCCGGGCUGGCAGGGGCCCGCUGUCCCCGGCGUCCCGGCCGCGCCUGGGAACUGGCUGACUGAGCCCUGUGUUUGACAAAUAAUGAACUUGGCACCCUUAGGAAGGAAGCCCUGGAAGACUGCUCCUCACCAGUCCCUCUGGCCUGCCUACUGCCUCUGACAUCUGCAGUGAGAAUGCAUCCAGUCUCAAGGUAUCUGGAUUUCUCUGGCUGCUCAUCUCCUCUGUAAAAUGAAGAGACGCCUGGAAGACCACACAACUUUGCUGCUGUCUUUCCAGGAGAAGUCAGUGGUAAGCUAAGAGUCCGUGUGCGUUUUCUCUUUUUUAUUCAUUCAGCACACGGGCGCUGCUGCAGAUACACGGCAACAGUACACGUUUUUUAGAGCUUACCUAAGAAGAAUGAAAGAUGUUAAUAUAAUCGUAUCUAACAUUUAAGUGUUUAGCAUGUCCCAAGCUUUAUUGAGAGCUA
Molecule: non-coding RNA, 502 nt
Organism: Oryctolagus cuniculus (rabbit)
Lineage: Eukaryota; Metazoa; Chordata; Mammalia; Lagomorpha; Leporidae
Source: RefSeq, a predicted model, not a curated record